Molecule: RNase P RNA, 396 nt
Filed under: Methylobacterium sp. Leaf86
Lineage: Bacteria; Pseudomonadati; Pseudomonadota; Alphaproteobacteria; Hyphomicrobiales; Methylobacteriaceae
Also listed under: 1 other name
Description: bacterial RNase P
Rfam family: Bacterial RNase P class A
About the family: Ribonuclease P (RNase P) is a ubiquitous endoribonuclease, found in archaea, bacteria and eukarya as well as chloroplasts and mitochondria. Its best characterised activity is the generation of mature 5'-ends of tRNAs by cleaving the 5'-leader elements of precursor-tRNAs.
Source: RNAcentral
UCAGUCGGCCGGGCGGCCGCUCCGGUGCGAACCGGGGAGGAAAGUCCGGGCUCCAUGGAGAGACGGUGCCGGAUAACGUCCGGCGGGGGCGACCCCAGGGACAGUGCCACAGAGAGCAGACCGCCCUGCUUCAUGCAGGGUAAGGGUGAAAGGGUGCGGUAAGAGCGCACCGCGGACGCGGCAACGCGGACGGCACGGCAAACCCCACCGGGAGCAAAACCGAAUAGGGGCGACACGCCUUCUCCCGAAAGGGAUGGGGCAGGCCCUCUCUCCAGGCUCGUCGCCCGGGUUGGUUGCUCGAGGCGUUCGGUAACGAACGUCCCAGAGGAAUGGCCGCCACGUCCGGAAGUUCGCUUCCGGGCCCUACAGAACCCGGCUUAAAGGCCGGCUGAUCCU